AACGAACGCUGGCGGCAUGCCUAACACAUGCAAGUCGAACGAGACCUUCGGGUCUAGUGGCGCACGGGUGCGUAACGCGUGGGAAUCUGCCCUUGGGUUCGGAAUAACAGUUAGAAAUGACUGCUAAUACCGGAUAAUGUCUUCGGACCAAAGAUUUAUCGCCCAGGGAUGAGCCCGCGUAGGAUUAGCUAGUUGGUGAGGUAAAGGCUCACCAAGGCGACGAUCCUUAGCUGGUCUGAGAGGAUGAUCAGCCACACUGGGACUGAGACACGGCCCAGACUCCUACGGAGGCAGCAGUGGGGGAAUAUUGGACAAUGGGCGAAGCCUGAUCCAGCAAUGCCGCGUGAGUGAUGAAGGCCUUAGGGUUGUAAAGGCUCUUUUUACCCGGGAUGAUAAUGACAGUACCGGG
Molecule: ribosomal RNA, 409 nt
Filed under: uncultured bacterium
Lineage: Bacteria
Description: bacterial SSU rRNA
Rfam family: Bacterial small subunit ribosomal RNA
Source: RNAcentral